This 74-nucleotide transfer RNA is filed under the name Calditrichota bacterium. RNAcentral's name for it is "Calditrichaeota bacterium tRNA-Arg". It matches the Rfam family "tRNA". From Rfam's summary of the family: Transfer RNA (tRNA) molecules are approximately 80 nucleotides in length. The record is from RNAcentral. RNAcentral also lists the same sequence under 1 other name. Lineage: Bacteria; Pseudomonadati; Calditrichota.
GCCCCUGUAGCUCAGCAGGAUAGAGCAGAGGCUUCCUAAGCCUUGUGUCGGGAGUUCGAAUCUCUCCAGGGGUA